Molecule: transfer RNA, 70 nt
Filed under: Aeolothrips xinjiangensis
Lineage: Eukaryota; Metazoa; Arthropoda; Insecta; Thysanoptera; Aeolothripidae
Description: tRNA-Glu
Rfam family: tRNA
About the family: Transfer RNA (tRNA) molecules are approximately 80 nucleotides in length.
Source: RNAcentral
GUCAAUAUAGUUAAUUUAUUAUAACAUUACGCUUUCACUGUAAUAUAGAAACACAGGGUUUCUAUUGACC